RNAcentral lists this ribosomal RNA (1245 nucleotides) under Tetragenococcus osmophilus. RNAcentral describes it as "bacterial SSU rRNA". It matches the Rfam family "Bacterial small subunit ribosomal RNA", at positions 124 to 1356 of the family's 1533-position model. Lineage: Bacteria; Bacillati; Bacillota; Bacilli; Lactobacillales; Enterococcaceae. The record is from RNAcentral.
ACCUACCCAGCAGCGGGGGAUAACACUUGGAAACAGGUGCUAAUACCGCAUAGGACUUUUUUUCGCCUGAAAGGAAGUUAAAAGACGCUUUUUGCGUCACUGCUGGAGGGACCCGCGGUGCAUUAGCCAGUUGGUGAGGUAACGGCUCACCAAAGCAACGAUGCAUAGCCGACCUGAGAGGGUGAUCGGCCACACUGGGACUGAGACACGGCCCAGACUCCUACGGGAGGCAGCAGUAGGGAAUCUUCGGCAAUGGACGCAAGUCUGACCGAGCAACGCCGCGUGAGUGAAGAAGGUUUUCGGAUCGUAAAGCUCUGUUGUCAGCCAAGAACAGGAAAAAGAGGCAAUGCUUUUUCUUUGACGGUAGCUGACCAGAAAGCCACGGCUAACUACGUGCCAGCAGCCGCGGUAAUACGUAGGUGGCAAGCGUUGUCCGGAUUUAUUGGGCGUAAAGGGAGCGCAGGCGGUUCGUUAAGUCUGAUGUGAAAGCCCUCGGCUCAACCGAGGAGGGUCAUUGGAAACUGGCGAACUUGAGUGCAGAAGAGGAGAGUGGAAUUCCAUGUGUAGCGGUGAAAUGCGUAGAUAUAUGGAGGAACACCGGUGGCGAAGGCGACUCUCUGGUCUGUAACUGACGCUGAGGCUCGAAAGCGUGGGUAGCAAACAGGAUUAGAUACCCUGGUAGUCCACGCCGUAAACGAUGAGUGCUAAGUGUUGGAGGGUUUCCGCCCUUCAGUGCUGCAGUUAACGCAUUAAGCACUCCGCCUGGGGAGUACGACCGCAAGGUUGAAACUCAAAGGAAUUGACGGGGGCCCGCACAAGCGGUGGAGCAUGUGGUUUAAUUCGAAGCAACGCGAAGAACCUUACCAGGUCUUGACAUCCUUUGUCCGCCCUAGAGAUAGGGCUUCCCCUUCGGGGGCAAAGUGACAGGUGGUGCAUGGUUGUCGUCAGCUCGUGUCGUGAGAUGUUGGGUUAAGUCCCGUAACGAGCGCAACCCUUAUGGCUAGUUGCCAGCAUUUAGUUGGGCACUCUAGUCAGACUGCCGGUGACAAACCGGAGGAAGGUGGGGAUGACGUCAAAUCAUCAUGCCCCUUAUGACCUGGGCUACACACGUGCUACAAUGGGAAGUACAACGAGCGCGCCAAGCCGCAAGGCCGAGCGAAUCUCUGAAAGCUUCUCUCAGUUCGGAUUGCAGGCUGCAACUCGCCUGCAUGAAGCCGGAAUCGCUAGUAAUCGCGGAUCAGCAUG